UACGUAGGUGGCAAGCGUUACUCGGAAUCACUAGGCGUAAAGCGCAGGUAGGAGGUUUGGUAAGUCUGUUGUGAAAGCUCCCGGCUCAACUGGGAGAGGUCAACGGAAACUACCAGGCUAGAGUGUGGUAGAGGUAGCUGGAAUUCCCGGUGUAGCGGUGAAAUGCGUAGAUAUCGGGAGGAAUACCUAUGGCGAAAGCAGGCUACUGGACCAUCACUGACUCUGAUCUGCGAAAGCUAGGGGAGCAAACAGG
Molecule: ribosomal RNA, 253 nt
Filed under: uncultured bacterium
Lineage: Bacteria
Description: partial 16S ribosomal RNA
Rfam family: Bacterial small subunit ribosomal RNA
Source: RNAcentral